Molecule: RNA transcript, 3281 nt
Organism: Nycticebus coucang (slow loris)
Lineage: Eukaryota; Metazoa; Chordata; Mammalia; Primates; Lorisidae
Gene name: alpha-globin transcription factor CP2-like
Exons: 1
Source: RefSeq, a predicted model, not a curated record
AAUAAUCACCACCAAUUAAAAUUUAUGUAGCAUUUAUUUCAAAAGGAGAAUAAAUCCAACACUAUUUUAUGAAGAAGUGUAACGUGGGGAAAAAAGAGAAAUUUGAAGAAAACGAGUCUGGGUUAGAGUCUCAGCUCUCCCACAUACUAAGCUGUGUGCGUGUGGGCAAGGUACUUCACCUCUUUCAGCUUCAAUUCAUACGCAAAAUAGCGAUAGCAUUUAUUGCAGAUGAUUGCUGUGAGAAUACCCUAAAAAUGCAUAGCAUUUUUCUUUAGAAAUGCUUUCUUCCUGGAUCCCUUGAAGUGUCUUAAAAUUUCCUAACGCAGGCUCUAGGCCAUCUGUGCUCUUAGAACCAGGAAAGGUACAGUUAGAUGCGCAGACUCCUACACAGUGCCCUUUACCUACAACAGAGGAAUGCAAAUAGAGCCCCACCAGGGGUUCUGAGAACUUACCCAAAGCUAGUUGGGAGUCCUACUCUUGCCUUCUCUGAAAGACUCAAGAGUUAGAAAAGGAGCCACAUCCCCAAACCGAAAGUCACCGCACUUGAGGAUGUAAUAUUUUUCUUUGGUGGGGUAAACAAAUCCAUAGUCAUUCCUGCUUUUCUCCCCGCCUUUCCCGUACGUCCUCCGAAUCUGGAAAACCCACACCUGCCAUCCUGUCACUGCUUCAUUCUCAGCUCUGGCUCCAAGCCUAGAAUCAGGUUACAGCGUAGUCCAAAGACUAAAAGAGCAGCAACUUCCCAGACUUUACCAGCCACAAGUCUCAAAGCAAAAAUACCGGGUUCCGUCUACUGCGCAUGUGUGAUAGUAACUGCCCACCUAGAGUUCCCGAUCUCCUCCAGGGUGAAGGCCUUUCAUCAAAGACCGCAUUUCCCACAAGGCUCCUUUCCGGAAAACGUCAGAUGCUUCUUCUUAGGAACCUCUUUUACAGGGGGUUCCCAAGUUAGUAUCUCUGGGGCUGGCCUGAGAGACGCGCUUAUGUUUAAGAAGGUCCAGCAAAAGGGGGUAGGAGGAAAAGGUGCUUUAGCAGCGUGGUGGCGCCCCGCUGGCGACUUGCCGUUGCCGCUGGUUGUCUGGAAAGCGGCAAGCAAUCGCCAUGACCUUAAGGGGAGAGCCCAGGAAGUGGUAGUGUGGAAUUCCAGAUCUGCUCUGCAAAAAGAGCCUUACGUUCCGAGAGCUGGGUAGCUGGGACAGCCAACAGCAAGGAGCCAGGGGCACGGGAGGUUAGUUAUGUAGGCAGUGCUGAUCGGGUUUGGGGGUGGCUGGUGAGCAUUGCGUGAGAGAUCUUGGUUUGGAGUCUUCUACUGUCUUGCCCCAGUUGGGUAGAAUCACGCUCCGCGCCUUUGUACAAGAAACGGCGUCUCCGGGGGCAAGGAAGGAGCCAGGAUGGCCUGGGCUCUGAAGCUUCCUCUGGCGGAUGAAGUGAUUGAAUCCGGGCUGGUGCAGGACUUUGAUGCUAGCCUGUCCGGGAUCGGCCAGGAACUGGGUGCUGGUGCCUAUAGCAUGAGUGAUGUCCUCGCAUUGCCCAUUUUUAAGCAAGAAGAGUAAAGUUUGCCUCCUGAUAAUGAGAACAAAAUUCUACCUUUUCAGUACGUGAUUUGUGCUGCCACCUCUCCAGCAGUGAAACUCCAUGAUGAGACCCUAACAUAUCUCAAAGACAGUCUUAUGAAAUUCGAAUGCUAGACAAUAGGAAACUUGGAGAACUUCCAGAAAUUAAUGGGAAAUUGUCAUAUAGUAUUCCAUAACAGAAGGCUACAAUACACUGAGCAUCAGCAGCUGGAGGGCUGGAGGUGGAAACGAUCUGGAGAUAGAAUUCUUGAUAGAGAUAUUCCAAUAUCUGUGGGGAUAAUUGAUCCUAGGGCUAAUGCAACCCAACUAAAUACAGUAGAGUUCCUGUGGGACCCUGCAAAGAGAACAUCUGUGUUUAUUCAGGUGCACUGUAUUAGCACAAGAGUUCACCUUGAAGAAACGCGGUGGAGAAAAGGGGGUGCCAUUUUGAGUACAAAUUGAUACUUUCAAGGAGAAUGAGAAUGGAGAAUAUACUGAGCGCUUACACUCAGCUAGUGCCAGAUCAAAGUUUUUAAACCCAAAGGUGCAGACAGAAAGCAAAAAACAGACAGGGGAAAAAUGGAGAAACAUACACCUCAUGAAAAGGAAAAGUAUCAACCUUCCUAUGAGACCACCAUACUCACAGAGUGUUCUCCAUGGCCUGAGAUCACUUACCUCAAUAAUUCCCCAUCACCUGGCUUCAACAGUUCCCAUAGCAGUUUUUCUCUUGGGGAAGGAAAUGGUUCACCAAACUACCAGCCAGAGCCACCCCCUCCAGUCACAGAUAACCUCUUGCCAAUAACCACACCUCAGGAAGCUCAGCAGUGAUUGCGCCGAAACUGUUUUUCUACAUUCACAAGGCUUUUCACAAACUUCUCAGGGGCAGAUUUACUGAAAUUAACUAGAGAUUAUGUGAUCCAAAUCUGUGGCCCUGCAGAUGAAAUCAGAUUUUUUAAUGCAUUAAAAGGCCGGAUGGUGCGUCCAAGGUUAACCAUUUAUGUUUGUCAGGAAUCGCUGCAGUUGAGCGAGCAGCAGCAGCAGCAGCAGCAGCAACAACAGAUGCACAAGGAUGGGGACUCAAAUGGUACCUUCUUCGUGUACCAUGCCAUCUAUCUAGAAGAACUUACAGCUGUUGAAUUGACGGAAAAAAUUGCUUACUUUUCAGCAUUUCCCCUUGCCAGAUCAGCCAGAUUUACAAGCAGGGAUCAAUAGGAAUCCAUGUGCUCAUCAGUGAUGAGAUGAUUCAGAAUUUUCAGGAAGAAGCCUGUUUUAUUCUGGACACAACAAAAGAAACCAAUGAUAGCUAUCAUAUCAUACUGAAGUAGGAGUGGGGCAUUCCGUGCUCGGUGGCUGCUGCUUCCUUCACCUCUUGAAAAUGGCCCUCUUGAAGGGGGCCGUGAAUGGAGACUGGAAGGUUUGCAGGAACCUGACCCAUCAGACUGUGUGUGGGGGGAGUUCCAGCUGCGGAGGCAGGAUCCCAAGCCUGCUGUGUUAGCACACACUCUCGUGGUGCACACAGCUUACUGCCUAACAUGCAGUUCUGCAGAUAUUUCUUAGUUAAAAUUUCCAAACCCUGUUGUUGUUGAACAUCAAUAGAAACUCCACCUCAGUUAGGGUGAAUGUAGGGCAUAAUAAUGGUGGGAAUUGUGUGAUAUUUGUUAGAAAGAUUUAAAUUUUGUGAUAUGGAGCCAUGUAAUUGUUUUCUAAUAUAAAAAUAAGCAUCUAUAUUCAUAA